CAAGACACCACCAAUCCGGAUGUGCCAUAGUGGGAAUUCCACCCUGGGCCCUAUUUCUGCUCUUGCAGAGAUCUUGGAUAGAGACAGAAUAGGAAAGGUCUAGGUUCAAGGCCAGACAGUCCAACUCCGUGGACCUCCCUUCCUCACCUGUAAUACACCCUCCUGGCUGGUUUGCCAGGGAGGUGGAACCAACCUGUCCACAGCCAACGCUGGAGGUAGCCUGGUGCUGGGGAUGCCCCUUGCCUGCAGCCACUUCCUGCCCUCACUCUGCAUGUCAUUGCCAGAACCCAGCAGGGCUGUGAACCGCUUCCCGGGCUGUGACUUUCCAUGGCGAGUGAAAACUCGAAGAGAGACCAUGUCUUUUUGUAUUUCCCCAGCAACCAGCAAGGGCUUGGCACUGGGCUCCUUGGGAAACGCCUGCCAGGCUGAAUUGUUCAAGGCUGGAAUCACAGCUGAAUGACUCACCCUGCCCAAGAUGCCCGCGUUAAUCCAGCGACUUCAUUCCAGUCACCACUUGUUACCGAGUGCCGAAGCCGAGAAAGAGAGAAGGCUUGAGAGGGAGGGCAGAUCCCCCCCCCACGUGGUAUCUACAUCUGAAAGGCAGCCUUUCUGCUGGAGGCCCGCUUGACUUCCUACACCGCCACUCCCUUACAGUCUUGAAAGCCAGCAAGAACUGUUCCGCUGCAAAAGUAGCUGCCUGGAUUCCAAGAGGGGUCACACAAGGAUGCUUGCACAACGCCUGCUGACCCAGGGAAGGAGUCCUCCCGCUGGCUUCAGGUUCAUGGACAGAGCUUGAGCUUUGACUCCCUGUGGUUGACGUCACCUGCAUUCACCAAUAUCCAGAGUUUCUCCCCUUCCAGCACAUGGAUGACUCAGCCCCUUGCAGUCAGGUGAGAUCAUGGGACUAGCUCUGGCAAAUGAAAUGACAGAAGUUCACUUCCAGGCUGAAUGAAAAACUCAUGUAAGAUUCUCCAGUCUCUCUCCUCUCUUGCCAGUGGUGACUGUGGCAAAGGCCUUGUGUUGACACAGCAGGCCAGAAGAUCAAAGUUGCCUGGGUCUUGGAGUCUCCGCAUGGAAGGCCACUGUUUUGAAUGGCAAGUACACUCUAAUUCCAUAAAGCCACAGAGAUUCUUGGGACUAUUUGUUACUGCAGCACAACCUAGCCUACCCUGACUAAUACACAACCUGAUUCUCAGUUUCCCCUCCCCUAUAUCACAUGGCUGUAAUGAGGAUUUAAUAAGAAGAUGUGUGUCAAGCUGUUAGCUCCAUUUUGGCUCACAGAAGGGACUCACUAAAUGUUCAGUUCUUGCCCACCCCUAGCAAGAUGGUCAUUCUUGGGAAAGUCAGAUGAGGCCACCUGACCAGACCUUUCCAUAGACCUCUGGGCGUAGCAAUGAGGUCAGUAGCUCUUCAUGGAGGCAGGUACACAAUCCUUAUUAUGCAGCAGGUUUUAUGAGUUCUGUCUCUCCACACUUCCAGUUCUUUCCAUGGAAAUCCUAGGGCAAUUUAGGUUUGUUGAGAGAGGUGCCCUGACAGCCCCUGAUGUCUACCUUUCCAGUUGCAACAAGCUGUGAAGACUCCACCUUCCCCUCAUCACUGCCACCAGCUUGCCUCCAUCUGCAGCAGAGGGGAGAAAGCUGGUCCCUCACUUACCAUGAGCUGUCCUCUCAGUGCCAAGUGCCACGAAAGAAUCUUUUGGGACUGAGUCUGCCUUGGUCCUUGUCUUGACUUUAAUAACAAUAAGAGCAAUGUAAUAAUUAAUCAGAACAAAACUCUGACCUGUGGGUGACUUUUUUUUUUUUUUUUGAGUAAAGUUUAGUGAAAUGUUGGUGGUGCUAGAAGCAAAACAUGAACCCGAAUGCUCAAUAGGGAGAAAGAAGUGCCCUGUAGAAAACCAUCAUUCUCUUGUUAACAAUGACUGGGUUUGACGGGUAUUCCUGUGUGCUGGGGUUUCUUUUAGAUGCAUCAGAAAAGGAGUUUCUUUCUUUCUUUUUUUUCUUUUUUUCUUUCUUUUUUGUUUUUUUGUCUUUUUUGU
Molecule: non-coding RNA, 2035 nt
Organism: Sus scrofa (pig)
Lineage: Eukaryota; Metazoa; Chordata; Mammalia; Artiodactyla; Suidae
Source: RefSeq, a predicted model, not a curated record